CCUACGGGUGGCAGCAGUGAGGAAUAUUGGUCAAUGGCCGGAAGUCUGAACCAGCCAUGCCGCGUGCAGGAUGAAGGCUCUAUGAUUUGUAAACUUCUUUUAUAGGGGAAUAAUAGUACUUACGUGUAGGUAUUUGCAUGUACCGUACGAAUAAGGAUCGGCUAACUCCGUGCCAGCAGCCGCGGUAAUACGGAGGAUUCGAGCGUUAUCCGGAUUUAUUGGGUUUAAAGGGUGCGUAGGUUGUUUUAUAAGUUAGAGGUCAAAGGUCGUGGCUUAACCCGGAGAUUGCAGUUGAAACUGGUAGACUUGAGUGUGGAUGAGGUAGGCGGAAUGAGUGGUGUAGCGGUGAAAUGCUUAGAUAUUACGCAGAACACCGAUUGCGCAGGCAGCUUGCUAAUCCGUAACUGACGCUGAUGCACGAAAGCGUGGGGAGCAAACAGGAUUAGAUACCCGUGUAGUC
This 460-nucleotide ribosomal RNA is filed under the name uncultured bacterium. RNAcentral's name for it is "partial 16S ribosomal RNA". It matches the Rfam family "Bacterial small subunit ribosomal RNA", at positions 338 to 795 of the family's 1533-position model. The record is from RNAcentral.